GUUAAACGCGCCCCCCCAAUCCCAACCUGACCGCCACAGCACAAGCAGCGAGACAAGCAACAGAAAGAGCUGAAGUUGCGUGACGCUAAUGUACAGGUGAACCUAAUGUUGUGUCCAAUGUGUGCAAAAGUCACGUUGGAGACAAAUGACCAAAGGAGCUGCUGAGACUACUGUUGCCUACAAGAAAAAAAAUUAGAAUGGCGGUACGCUCAUGGGCCAAUACAAACAUGGAAGCCUCAUCAGUGCGUGAGCAGAAAACAAAACAGUAUUGACGGAAAAGCUCCCGACUUCCCGGGUCACUGUCUCUGACCCGGCCUGGACAUCUCCAGGAAGCCUCCUUGACAGUCUGUGAGGAUGAGAGUCAGGUUGGCGGGUGGCGGGUGGUCUUGAUCAUGAGAACGCGGGUGAUUAUUCCCAUCCAGUCCCAGGGAGUUCAACUCAGCUGCUCCCUUUCAUAGACACGUAUUGAAUAGAUCAGAUGCAAGCGCGCUUUCGCUAUUGCCUGCCAAAGUUCGCCUCGCCUGUAGUGGAAAUAGCAUCACUAAGCUACACUCCCAGGCCACAUUAUUAGGUACACCUACACAAUCCAAUGAGAUGAUAUAAAAAAAACACCAGCACAUUUACGUUAUUAGUAACUUUAUACAUUUUAAUAUGAACAGUAAUAUUGUUUUUAUGACAUAGUGAUGCCUUGAGAUACUAGUUUAAUUUGAUCCGUGACCAGGCUCGUCUCAGACUCAAAACACUCAAAUCAUCUUUCCCCAUCGAAAUGCAUAGAAAUGUUAUUAAUCCGUUCCAGACACAAUUUUUAAUCAGGAAAAUACCGAUCUAUAACAUUGUACAAUUGUACAUUGUAAUUUCAUCUGUGGCGUGUAGCACCACCACUCCCACUCGCCACUUUGGCGGGUUGUAUUGCAAUCAGGAAAAAUGUACAUCAGCGUCAUCAGCUUGUUGAGGUGUACCUAAUAAAGUAACCGCUGAUUACAAAUUGUUGGUGGUUCUUCAUGCCACGCAUUGAAAUGCACAGUAUCGUUAAAGCUAUUCUUGCACAAGCUUUGUACCGGUCAGCAUCUCCUAAAGGGGACAAAAAAGAAGAGUCCUUGGACUUGAUCCAAGGUCAAGCUCUUUUCAGUGUGUUGGCGUCGACUGGAAUAAUACGAAGACAAACAGUGACGAUGA
Long non-coding RNA from Phyllopteryx taeniolatus (common seadragon), 1176 nucleotides. RefSeq lists it as uncharacterized. The record is from RefSeq and is a predicted model, not a curated record. Lineage: Eukaryota; Metazoa; Chordata; Actinopteri; Syngnathiformes; Syngnathidae. The transcript is spliced from 3 exons.